Molecule: small nucleolar RNA, 126 nt
Organism: Doryrhamphus excisus (bluestripe pipefish)
Lineage: Eukaryota; Metazoa; Chordata; Actinopteri; Syngnathiformes; Syngnathidae
Product: small nucleolar RNA SNORD22
Source: RefSeq, a predicted model, not a curated record
CCUUGAUGAUGACAUCUGCACACGUCUUACGCCUUGUGUCAACGCCAGACCUGCAAAGGUGAACCCACUGGUGUUGCCAGGGCAACAAGGGGACAAUUUGUUGGGGUUUCCAACAGUCUGAAAGGA